RNAcentral lists this ribosomal RNA (422 nucleotides) under uncultured bacterium. RNAcentral describes it as "bacterial SSU rRNA". It matches the Rfam family "Bacterial small subunit ribosomal RNA", at positions 355 to 793 of the family's 1533-position model. The record is from RNAcentral.
UAAGGGAUAUUGGUCAAUGGGCGCAAGCCUGAACCAGCAACGCCGCGUGCGGGAGGAAGGUUUUCGGACUGUAAACCGCUUUUGGCGGGGACGAUGAUGACGGUACCCGCGGAAUAAGUCUCGGCUAACUACGUGCCAGCAGCCGCGGUAAAACGUAGGAGGCGAGCGUUAUCCGGAUUUACUGGGCGUAAAGCGCGUGCAGGCGGUGCGAUAAGUCGUGCGUGAAAGCUCCCAGGCUUAACCGGGAGAGGACGUGCGAGACUGUCGGACUAGAGGCAGGUAGAGGCAAGUGGAAUUCCGGGUGUAGUGGUGAAAUGCGUAGAGAUCCGGAGGAACCCCGGUGGCGAAGGCGACUUGCUGGGCCUGAACUGACGCUCAGACGCGAAAGCAUGGGGAGCGAACGGGAUUAGAAACCCCGGUAG